CCUACGGGUGGCAGCAGUGGGGAAUAUUGGACAAUGGGGGGAACCCUGAUCCAGCCAUGCCGCGUGUGUGAAGAAGGCCCUCGGGUUGUAAAGCACUUUCAGUGAGGAAGAACGCCUGGUGGUUAAUACCCAUCAGGAAAGACAUCACUCACAGAAGAAGCACCGGCUAACUCCGUGCCAGCAGCCGCGGUAAUACGGAGGGUGCGAGCGUUAAUCGGAAUUACUGGGCGUAAAGCGCGCGUAGGUGGCUUGAUAAGCCGGUUGUGAAAGCCCCGGGCUCAACCUGGGAACGGCAUCCGGAACUGUCAAGCUAGAGUGCAGGAGAGGAAGGUAGAAUUCCCGGUGUAGCGGUGAAAUGCGUAGAGAUCGGGAGGAAUACCAGUGGCGAAGGCGGCCUUCUGGACUGACACUGACACUGAGGUGCGAAAGCGUGGGUAGCAAACAGGCUUAGAUACCCGGGUAGUC
Molecule: ribosomal RNA, 465 nt
Filed under: Vreelandella stevensii
Lineage: Bacteria; Pseudomonadati; Pseudomonadota; Gammaproteobacteria; Oceanospirillales; Halomonadaceae
Description: partial 16S ribosomal RNA
Rfam family: Bacterial small subunit ribosomal RNA
Source: RNAcentral